This 965-nucleotide long non-coding RNA is filed under the name Ananas comosus (pineapple). Its description in RNAcentral is "long non-coding RNA (ACOM_LNC042064)". Lineage: Eukaryota; Viridiplantae; Streptophyta; Magnoliopsida; Poales; Bromeliaceae. The record is from RNAcentral.
ACUUAUGUUUUACCUCUAUAAAUCUAAUAAAAAUAGUUUCUCACACUAUUUUUAUUUAUUAUUAUUUUUAUACCAAAAUCUGGUAUAUUACAAAACCCAACCCAAAUCAAACUCAAAUCCAAAUCAAGUCUACAAAUACAACCCAAAUCAAACCCAAACUGAAACCAAGUCCAGAUAAAAAUCCAAACCUAAACCCAAAACCCAAAUCCAAACCUAAACCCAAAACCCAAAUCAAGUCCACAUAAAAAUCUAAACCCAAAUCCGAUCAAGUGCACAAAUAAAGACCCAAACUCAAAUCCAAUCCAGUCUACAAAUAAAUCCAAACUCAAAUCCAAUCCGAACCACAAAUACAACCCGAACCCAACUUCCAACUUAGACUCAUGAACCCAAAUUCCUUGAAUCAUGAACCAAAUUGAAACCCAAGUUCAAGAAUCAAAAACCCAAAUUCCUUGAGUCAUGAACCAAAUCGAAACCCAAGUUCAAGAAUCAAAAACCCAAAUCCAUGAACCAAAUGAACCAAGAUCCAAAAAUCAGAAACCCAAGUUCACAUACCAAAUCUAUGAAUCGCAUCCAAGUUCAUGAAACAAAUCCCAUACACCAAAUCUCAUGAACCAAACCAUACCAAAAUCUCAUGAACUAUAAAUCAAGUUCAUGAACCAAAUGAACCAAGUUCGCGAACCAUGAUCCAAAAAUCAGAAACCCAAGUUCAUGAACCAAAUUCCUUGAAUCAUGAACCAAAUCCCACAUACCCAACCUCAUGAACCAUACCCAUGAACCAUAAACCAAAUCCACGAACCAUACCCAAGUUCAUGAACCAAAUCCUAUAGACCAUGAACCAAAUCUCAAAGCUCAUGAACCAUAUACCCAACCUCAUAAACCAUGAACCAAGUUCAUGAACCAUGAACCAAGUCCAUAAACCAAAUCUAUGAACCAUACGCCAAAUCUCAUAUCCAUGAACUAAAUGA